UGGGGAUUAUUGCACAAUGGGCGCAAGCCUGAUGCAGCCAUGCCGCGUGUGUGAAGAAGGCCUUCGGGUUGUAAAGCACUUUCAGCGGGGAGGAAGGCGAUAAGGUUAAUAACCUUGUCGAUUGACGUUACCCGCAGAAGAAGCACCGGCUAACUCCGUGCCAGCAGCCGCGGUAAUACGGAGGGUGCAAGCGUUAAUCGGAAUUACUGGGCGUAAAGCGCACGCAGGCGGUUUGUUAAGUCAGAUGUGAAAUCCCCGGGCUCAACCUGGGAACUGCAUCUGGUAAUGGCAAGCUUGAGUCUCGUAGAGGGGGAUAGGAUUCCAGGUGGAGCGGUGAAAAGCGUAGAGAACUGGAGGAAUACCGGUGGCGAAGGCGGCCCCCUGGAAAAAGACUGACGCUCAGGUGCGAAAGCGUGGGGAGCAAACAGG
RNAcentral lists this ribosomal RNA (429 nucleotides) under Chloroflexota bacterium. Its description in RNAcentral is "Chloroflexi bacterium partial 16S ribosomal RNA". It matches the Rfam family "Bacterial small subunit ribosomal RNA", at positions 355 to 776 of the family's 1533-position model. The record is from RNAcentral. Lineage: Bacteria; Bacillati; Chloroflexota.